This 521-nucleotide ribosomal RNA is filed under the name uncultured bacterium. RNAcentral's name for it is "bacterial SSU rRNA". It matches the Rfam family "Bacterial small subunit ribosomal RNA", at positions 9 to 518 of the family's 1533-position model. The record is from RNAcentral.
GAGUUGAUCCUGGCUACAGAACGAACGCUGGCGGCGCGUCUUAAGCAUGCAAGUCGAACGGCAAGAGGUAGCAAUACCUCCUAGAGUGGCGGACUGGUGAGUAACACGUGGGUGACAUACCCUUCAGAUGGGGAUAGCUAUUAGAAAUAGUAGAUAAUACCGAAUACGAGCACAGGGGUUAGAGAUCUGUGAGGAAAGGAGCUAAGGCUCCGCUGAAGGAAUGGCCUGCGGCCCAUUAGCUAGUUGGUGAGGUAAGAGCCCACCAAGGCGAUGAUGGGUAUCCGGCCUUAGAGGGUGAACGGACACAUUGGGACUGAGAUACGGCCCAGACUCCGUACGGGAGGCAGCAGCUAAGAAUAUUCCGCAAUGGACGAAAGUCUGACGGAGCGACGCCGCGUGGAUGAAGAAGGCCGGAAGGUUGUAAAAUCCUUUUGAAACUGAAGAAUAAGCGUUGUAGGGAAUGACAGCGUGGUGACAGUAGGUUUUGAAUAAGCAACGGCUAAUUACGUGCCAGCCGCCGC